Molecule: ribosomal RNA, 423 nt
Filed under: uncultured bacterium
Lineage: Bacteria
Description: bacterial SSU rRNA
Rfam family: Bacterial small subunit ribosomal RNA
Source: RNAcentral
AGAGUUUGAUCCUGGCUCAGAACGAACGCUGGCGGCGUGCCUAACACAUGCAAGUCGAACGUGAAAGUCCUUCGGGAUGAGUAAAGUGGCGCACGGGUGAGUAAUGCGUAGAUAAUCUGCCUGGUGAUCUGGGAUAACAUCUCGAAAGGGGUGCUAAUACCGGAUAAGCCCACGGAGUCUUCGGACUUUGCGGGAAAAGGGGGGGACCUUCGGGCCUUCUGUCACCAGAUGAGUCUACGUACCAUUAGCUAGUUGGUGGGGUAAGAGCCCACCAAGGCUACGAUGGUUAGCUGGUCUGAGAGGAUGAUCAGCCACACUGGAACUGAGACACGGUCCAGACUCCUACGGGAGGCAGCAGUGGGGAAUUUUGCGCAAUGGGGGAAACCCUGACGCAGCAACGCCGCGUGAGUGAUGAAGGCCUUC